CUCGUAGGUGGCCAACUAAGUCAGACGUGAAAUCCCCAGGCUCAACCUGGGAGCUGCGUCUGAUACUGGAUGGCUUGAAUUCGGGAGAGGGAUGCAGAAUUCCAGGUGUAGCGGUGAAAUGCGUAGAUAUCUGGAGGAAUACCGGUGGCGAAGGCGGCAUCCUGGACCGAGAUUGACACUGAUGAGCGAAAGCUAGGGGAGCAAAC
This 206-nucleotide ribosomal RNA is filed under the name uncultured bacterium. RNAcentral describes it as "partial 16S ribosomal RNA". It matches the Rfam family "Bacterial small subunit ribosomal RNA", at positions 568 to 773 of the family's 1533-position model. The record is from RNAcentral.